Molecule: ribosomal RNA, 429 nt
Filed under: Chloroflexota bacterium
Lineage: Bacteria; Bacillati; Chloroflexota
Description: Chloroflexi bacterium partial 16S ribosomal RNA
Rfam family: Bacterial small subunit ribosomal RNA
Source: RNAcentral
UGGGGAAUAUUGCACAAUGGGCGCAAGCCAGAUGCAGCCAUGCCGCGUGUAUGAAGAAGGCCUUCGGGUUGUAAAGUACUUUCAGUCGGGAGGAAGGUGGUAAGGUUAAUAACCUUAUCAAUUGACGUUACCGACAGAAGAAGCACCGGCUAACUCCGUGCCAGCAGCCGCGGUAAUACGGAGGGUGCAAGCGUUAAUCGGAAUUACUGGGCGUAAAGCGCACGCAGGCGGUUGAUUGAGUCAGAUGUGAAAUCCCCGGGCUUAACCCGGGAAUUGCAUCUGAUACUGGCAAGCUUGAGUCUCGUAGAGGGGGGUAGAAUUCCAGGUGUAGCGGUGAAAUGCGUAGAGAUCUGGAGGAAUACCGGUGGCGAAGGCGGCCCCCUGGACGAAGACUGACGCUCAGGUGCGAAAGCGUGGGGAGCAAACAGG